UGCCUGUUCAGAGGGAUGGUCACACAGAAU
Molecule: non-coding RNA, 30 nt
Filed under: Rattus norvegicus (Norway rat)
Lineage: Eukaryota; Metazoa; Chordata; Mammalia; Rodentia; Muridae
Source: RNAcentral